This 522-nucleotide ribosomal RNA is filed under the name uncultured bacterium. RNAcentral's name for it is "bacterial SSU rRNA". It matches the Rfam family "Bacterial small subunit ribosomal RNA", at positions 8 to 525 of the family's 1533-position model. The record is from RNAcentral.
AGAGUUUGAUCAUGGCUCAGAUUGAACGCUGGCGGCAGGCCUAACACAUGCAAGUCGAGCGGUAGAGAGAAGCUUGCUUCUCUUGAGAGCGGCGGACGGGUGAGUAAUGCCUAGGAAUCUGCCUGGUAGUGGGGGAUAACGUUCGGAAACGAACGCUAAUACCGCAUACGUCCUACGGGAGAAAGCAGGGGACCUUCGGGCCUUGCGCUAUCAGAUGAGCCUAGGUCGGAUUAGCUAGUUGGUGAGGUAAUGGCUCACCAAGGCGACGAUCCGUAACUGGUCUGAGAGGAUGAUCAGUCACACUGGAACUGAGACACGGUCCAGACUCCUACGGGAGGCAGCAGUGGGGAAUAUUGGACAAUGGGCGAAAGCCUGAUCCAGCCAUGCCGCGUGUGUGAAGAAGGUCUUCGGAUUGUAAAGCACUUUAAGUUGGGAGGAAGGGCAGUUACCUAAUACGUGAUUGUUUUGACGUUACCGACAGAAUAAGCACCGGCUAACUCUGUGCCAGCAGCCGCGGUAAUA